RNAcentral lists this ribosomal RNA (492 nucleotides) under uncultured bacterium. Its description in RNAcentral is "partial 16S ribosomal RNA". It matches the Rfam family "Bacterial small subunit ribosomal RNA", at positions 29 to 507 of the family's 1533-position model. The record is from RNAcentral.
AGUGAACGCUGGCGGUAGGCCUAACACAUGCAAGUCGAACGGCAGCACAGUAAGAGCUUGCUCUUACGGGUGGCGAGUGGCGGACGGGUGAGGAAUACAUCGGAAUCUACUUUUUCGUGGGGGAUAACGUAGGGAAACUUACGCUAAUACCGCAUACGACCUACGGGUGAAAGCAGUGGAUCUUCGGACCUUGCGCGACUGAAUGAGCCGAUGUCGGAUUAGCUAGUUGGCGUGGUAAAGGCCCACCAAGGCGACGAUCCGUAGCUGGUCUGAGAGGAUGAUCAGCCACACUGGAACUGAGACACGGUCCAGACUCCUACGGGAGGCAGCAGUGGGGAAUAUUGGACAAUGGGCGCAAGCCUGAUCCAGCCAUACCGCGUGGGUGAAGAAGGCCUUCGGGUUGUAAAGCCCUUUUGUUGGGAAAGAAAAGCAGCAGGUUAAUACCCCGCUGUUCUGACGGUACCCAAAGAAUAAGCACCGGCUAACUUCGUG